GCCUGCAGUGAGGAAGGAGUCAUGUGCAAUUCUGAAGACAACAUCUCCGGGGUGGCAAUACGAAAGAGAGGGUGCCACCCACGGCUCGGUGUCUCUGCCCUGGGUCUAGGGUCUGAGUUCCGGAGUGAUGGAGGGGGCCAAGCGUCUGUGAAACUUGGGGGGUGGUCUGGGUCACGACUGGGGACGAGGAGGGUCUGGAGGU
This 202-nucleotide long non-coding RNA is filed under the name Homo sapiens (human). RNAcentral's name for it is "HSALNT0217903". Lineage: Eukaryota; Metazoa; Chordata; Mammalia; Primates; Hominidae. The record is from RNAcentral.